GGUCCCGUAGUGUAGCGGUUAUCACGUCGCCCUGUCACGGCGAAGAUCGCGGGUUCAUUCCCGGUCGGGACCG
Molecule: transfer RNA, 73 nt
Filed under: Streptococcus sp. oral taxon 056 str. F0418
Lineage: Bacteria; Bacillati; Bacillota; Bacilli; Lactobacillales; Streptococcaceae
Description: tRNA-Asp
Rfam family: tRNA
About the family: Transfer RNA (tRNA) molecules are approximately 80 nucleotides in length. Their secondary structure includes four short double-helical elements and three loops (D, anti-codon, and T loops).
Source: RNAcentral